UGACUCUCGGCAACGGAUAUCUCGGCUCACGCAUCGAUGAAGAACGUAGCAAAAUGCGAUACUUGGUGUGAAUUGCAGAAUCCCGUGAACCAUCGAGUUUUUGAACGCAAGUUGCGCCCGAAGCCAUCCGGCUGAGGGCACGUCUGCCUGGGCGUCACG
RNAcentral lists this ribosomal RNA (159 nucleotides) under Encelia hispida. Its description in RNAcentral is "5.8S ribosomal RNA". It matches the Rfam family "5.8S ribosomal RNA". From Rfam's summary of the family: 5.8S ribosomal RNA (5.8S rRNA) is a component of the large subunit of the eukaryotic ribosome. It is transcribed by RNA polymerase I as part of the 45S precursor that also contains 18S and 28S rRNA. Functionally, it is thought that 5.8S rRNA may be involved in ribosome translocation. The record is from RNAcentral. Lineage: Eukaryota; Viridiplantae; Streptophyta; Magnoliopsida; Asterales; Asteraceae.